RNAcentral lists this ribosomal RNA (441 nucleotides) under uncultured bacterium. RNAcentral's name for it is "partial 16S ribosomal RNA". It matches the Rfam family "Bacterial small subunit ribosomal RNA", at positions 339 to 795 of the family's 1533-position model. The record is from RNAcentral.
CUACGGGGUGCAGCAGUGGGGAAUAUUGCACAAUGGGGGAAACCCUGAUGCAGCAACGCCGCGUGGAGGAUGACGCAUUUCGGUGUGUAAACUCCUUUUAUCAAGGAAGAAAUUUGACGGUACUUGAUGAAUAAGCACCGGCUAACUCCGUGCCAGUCAGCCGCGGUAAUACGGAGGGUGCAAGCGUUACUCGGAAUCACUGGGCGUAAAGGACGCGUAGGCGGUUUGAUAAGUUGGAUGUGAAAUCCUAUGGCUUAACCAUAGAACUGCAUCCAAAACUGUCAGACUAGAGUGAGGGAGAGGUGAAUGGAAUUAGUGGUGUAGGGGUAAAAUCCGUAGAGAUCACUAGGAAUACUCAUAGCGAAGGCGAUUCACUGGAACUUUACUGACGCUGAGGCGUGAAAGCAUGGGGAGCAAACAGGAUUAGAUACCCUCGUAGUC